GUCCACGCGGUAAACGAUGACGACUAGGUGUGGGGGGGUUCAGUCCCUUCCGUGCCGCAGCUAACGCAUUAAGUCGUCCGCCUGGGGAGUACGGCCGCAAGGUUGAAACUCAAAGGAAUUGACGGGGGCCCGCACAAGCGGUGGAGCAUGUGGUUCAAUUCGAUGCAGAGCGAAGAACCUUACCUGGGCUUGACAUGCGCGAAGUAGAAACCGGAAACGGGGACGACCUGUUGAGUCAGGAGCGCGCACAGGUGGUGCAUGGCUGUCGU
This 269-nucleotide ribosomal RNA is filed under the name uncultured bacterium. Its description in RNAcentral is "partial 16S ribosomal RNA". It matches the Rfam family "Bacterial small subunit ribosomal RNA", at positions 793 to 1055 of the family's 1533-position model. The record is from RNAcentral.